UGUGUACGUAUGCUACACGCAAUCGUUGUGCUUCACUAAGCCACAGUGCACUACAAAGUUAAGCAUGAGCGGUACACAAAAUUCACAAGUUCUUAGUAUUGCCAAGAACAACCAUUGCUUGGUGAAGUUCUCACAGGCGUUGUAGAAGUUGUUGGGCACGGCAGUGCUGAACGUAGCGUUAGCGGCUUAAAUCGUGUUUUUUACUAGUAACAACGUGUCACUAUUUCAUAUUAUUGGCGGCGUCUCCAGGACACCAAAUCGGUAACGGGGACACCAGAGCUAGAACGCGGACUGGUCCAUGAGUUGGGGCUCGCCGAGGCCUGCGCGUGCUAGUAGUAUAUCUUGAUGUCUGUAGGCUGUGUGUAAGUCGUACUUUCCGAAUUUUCUGACGCAUUUUAAGAUCAGCUGUCCGCUUUCGCAGACAAGGCUGGAGUCAGGGUGGUCCGUGAGUUGGGGCAACAUAACCUGCUUCCAGUUUGGGACCGCCCUGCUUCCAGUUUUGAUCCCUCCGCUGCCCCUUGGGUACCCUGCCGCCUCCUUGAUUAUAAUGUAAUGCUCUCCUGAGGCCUCUGUUUGCCGGUUACAUGUGCCCUCCUGGAGCACUACUUGUAAAUGAAUCCGAUCUAUCGUCGCAACGAAAAAAGCACCCCGCGACUUCUACAACACCAGUCAGAACCUUGCCCAUUGGUUUACAUAUGUGUGGCCGCAAAUAUCUGAAACAUAAUGCCAGUUCAACAGGUUUGUUGGCAAGGGUGUCAGGUCGUUGCUUUGUGUUGAAUCGGCCUUUUCUCAAUUCUUAAGAAUUUAAUUGGAAUGCACCUGACCAGUGCUGCUUUGUGGUGCUUGCCACCAGUCCCUUGGACAGGGAAGACAUAUGAGAAUCCCUGUGCAUACACUUUAUACGCAGUGGUGUGACCGCUUCCUUUGGGAAACUACCACGUUAGCGAUAUUGUGAGCGCAAUGUGACUUUCCUUCAUCUUCCUCAUCCGUACGUAGUGUGUGUCGCUUCUUCCUCGCCAUAGCUCUAGCUCGGCAAGAAUAAAGCGGUUCCUUAGAAGUGGUGGAGGUGCUGGGGUUCUGCAUACCAAGGACGUAUAAGGUCACAAAGCUGCACCCAGGUAGAGGCAGAAUCCAAAAAUGCUUGUGUACUUAAGUAUAGCUGCACAUUACAGAAUCCGAGGCCCUCAAGAUUUAUCCGUAGCCCUCGAGUUCCAUAUUUUUUAUUGGGAUUGAAGAGUAACGUUUGUGCUCUGUUGUGCGUUGAUUUUCUGAUGUCCUUGCAUUUGCUAUAGCAAGGAUUUUUAAAAAUCAGCCACAAAAGAAAAAAUAAAUGGUCAAGGAACGAAGUGGUGUGUAGCAGCUCCCUUUUUUUUUAAUCGGCGGCAAGUUUUGCACUCGUGUGUUAGCAACACUGUUUCGCCAGUUGUGUACUUCAAAAGAAGUGUUACCAUUCUGCUUUGGAACUUUGUGGUUUUGUUCUGCCAGCUGCUUCACCAACACAAGCAAAAUGUACUUUGGAUAUUCCACAAAUUCAUUCUGUAUGCAUUUGGUACAAUAAAAUUUGUUUCAAGAAUGGACAAAUGCAGUGAUGGUUAAUUGAAAACUGCAACAUGCCGAGUUUCAUGCUUCAUUAAUUUUCUCAGCCCCAAAGAAAGCAUGCAAGGUUUGAAAAUGUAUCAUGUGACAUUAGUGCACUCGGUCUAGAAAACUGAUUAAUGCUGCACAUACAUUGAACAUGGUGGCCAUGACCAUCCCUCAUGAACUGGCAUUCCCUGCCUAAACCACCUCACCAAGACAGCUUGUUGACAGCAAGAAAGCUGACGGGGCUUCCAAGAAUUUCUAUGCACUAUUUAUUACUAUCGCCCUACUGAAAUUGCUCCAUUGCUUUGCUGACAAUUGUCUUGACAAAAGUGGAAGCCGAAUCUGUUGAGGUCGAUCAGUUUUAUUUACAUACAACCUAUUAUAAAGUGGACCUUUCUUCGCCUCUUCAACUGUUCCCACAGCUGCUGCUGCCAUCUUGCACGCCACAUCGAGGAGGAGGGCAAUGUACAUGGCAGGUGCAUGGGAGGAUUUUCCAAGGAACUCUGGAAAGCUGUAAUCAGAUUGUGGGCAAAGUUAAAAACUUAAAUACAAAAAGGGUGUAGAGUAUUGUAACCUUGUACAUGUUGAUCACACCACAUGUUUCAGCUACAGCUAUAAGUGCCUUGUCUCAUCAACCAAGCUACAGUUCUUGCAAUGUUACACUUUGUGAUACUCAGUAUGAAUUGAUAAGACUAGCUGCUAUUCUAGUGGUUGUGCAGGCCACAAGGGAACAGUGCCUGGCCUUUGUGCUUGUAUGUGUCAAUUUCUCUCUUUCAGUCUCGCCCAAGCCACACUAAAAUGUUAUCCACAAGUGUCGUGCCAAAAUGGCCUGGCGACAUUUCGUAUUAAGCCGUUUGACCCAUUUAUUGCACUGAUGCACACAGUGCAACCAAAUGAAGGAAAUGACAUCGCCUAGGUGAUUAUUAAAUUACCCUUCUAAAAUACCACAAGAGGAAUUUUGCUGUGGCAAGAGCCUUAGCAAAACCAUAAGAGACACAAAAAUGAAGGAAAAGCGACACCUUCAAGUUCCCGCACCAACUCACCAUGAGAAGCACGAAUUUUGGCAGUGUCUGCUUGAGCUUAGUUAUUUGCAGAUACAUGCAGUUGAAUGCUUUUACAAGCAUUGAGAUGCCCCACUAUGCUAGCUUGCCUUUUAUGGCUAUAGAAAGUUGUAUACUGCCACAAGUCUGCCUAUUCCGAUUGGAAUCUAUAUUGAAGCUGCUUUGAGCAACGGGCGGUAUUCUAUUUCAGCGCUAAUGAUACAUUGACAGUAGUGUGCCUGGAAGGAAUAGACAAAAGCAUUGCAGAAGCUGCAGCACUUUGUGCUCGCUGAAUGAUCAUACGAGAAGGUAAAGAUGCCAUCAGAAAGCAUCCUUCGUAUAGAGUCUCUUUAAAAGAAAAAUACAUCUAGACAUGGUGACAGUUGUGGUGGCAAACUAAAAAUAUUAUAAUGAUAGUUCAAGGUGUGGUAUGGCAUGUUUAUGCUAUUUCUGAAAAAAUAAACACGGCAAGUGUGUCCAUGCCAACAAUUGAGACAGGAUGUGCAGAUGCAAAGCUGCAAUACAGCACCACAGCGUCAAAAGCACAGUAUGCAAGUGGUGGUCCAGCAUCAAAACUUCAAUGUCCCUACACUACAACACUGGGAGGCCAUGCUGCAUGACAGAAGCCUGUGUGGCCAGCAGGCGCUGCUCUGUCGGGCACAGGACGUGGCAGCAACUAUUUCUCCUAAGGAUUCAAUAAACGGAUUUCUCUACCUCA
This is a non-coding RNA of Dermacentor andersoni, 3339 nucleotides long. Lineage: Eukaryota; Metazoa; Arthropoda; Arachnida; Ixodida; Ixodidae. The record is from RefSeq and is a predicted model, not a curated record.